CCUGCUGAGUAGCUGUCAGCAGCAUCGCUCCUCAGGCCCGCCGUUCCCAGCGCGCUCUGAGCCGCCAGGCCCAGCUCACCAGGUCGUUGUCAAGCAGGGCAGGGAAAGUUAAAGAGUCAGGACAACAUGAGGGUAAAGAAGGAAAGUGGCUAAAAAUAACUCCAAGGGGAGAGCGGAGUCUUCACGCCUCACAGCGACUAGCGCUGCUCUGGGAAAGAGGAGACGACAGAGACUGAGCUCUCUGUACCCCACCCCCAGCAGCCUGUGGGGUGACCUGACCUCCUCCUGUGUCCAUCAGAACCUCUUCUCCAGCUGCCAGAGCACCAGUGCCCCCUUCUGCUUUCACCUCACUGCAGGAGCCCGGCUCCUGGCCCCAUCUCAUAGAGCACACUGGGCCAGGACUGCCCCCAACAACUCCCGCACUAGGAAAUUCUGUCUGGGCCUGUAGCAAUGAAAGGAGAACGCAUCCCCUGCUUGCAGUCUGAGGAAAGGUCCUGCCUGUGGGUGAUCGGUUAGGAGAUUCCAGGCACCUGUCUGAUCACCAUGGUGCACUCCCAGUACUGGGGUUUGCUUGCAUCUCAAUGACACUCAGGAUCAGCAUCGCACUUUGCAGAAUGGACCUGAACUGUAGCAGUGGGGUGUUCUCGCUGCAGGUCGCUGCCAUUGAUCUUCAAGUCUCAUGUCCGAGAAGACUCUGCAUUUGCCUAUUAUGGAUCCAUCAUUCCAAAUGAGAAGGAAAAUCCUCAGGGGAAAUACAUGGUUCUAAAAAACCGAGCCAAACAAGCCCUCCUCAGACGGGCCGUGUGGAGAGUCCUGCUUUUUCUAAACCAGAUACAAACUAACACGGCUGCGACUCUGAAACCUCUGAGGUCCUUGUUUGUGGUAUUUGGGUUCUUCUGCUUCCAGUCCCAGAUUGCUCUAGGAAUUGCCAGCCGCACAUCAGCAAUACCCUGGAAUUUCCCUCUCGGUUCUGAGCCCCCCGAAUAGUUCAUGUCUCAUCACGGUGUGGAAGAAGGGUCAGCUCUAGUCUCAUUUUAUCUAAACCAGCUUGUGCAGCUGCUCCUCAGAAGUUAGGUGCUUUUUGCCACGACUGCUUUGCAUGAUUUCCCACCUAUCUACCAGAGUGCACCCACAUUAGAGCUGGUGCUAACAGACCUCUUGCCUCUGGCUUCAGUUCUGCCCUCAUAAAGGGAGCUGCAUCUCUUUACCUCAGGACAGAAUUGGGCCCUAAGCAUGUGCGCAGGUUAAAAAAUAUUUAUGUCCACUGGUCCAAAUCCUCCACUGGGGUAAAGCAGCUGAGCUCCAUGGAGUGCUGCGCUGGUCCCGCUGAGUAUCUGAGCCCAAUGUGGCCAGCAGCUGCUCUGGGAAAAGCCUUCCUUGGGAAUCGCGCCGAUCCGCCUGCUUUGGACAAAUGCGUUAUGUGCAGGGUUCUUCUAUAAAGCAGGGCCCCCAGCUCUCCCUGCCUUGUACUAGGGAAGGGUAAUUAGUAAGACACACUGCAGGGUUACAAAAUGCAUUGAAAUACCUGAAAUCCCCCCUCCAGACUAAAGUAAAUCAGACAUGACUUUGACAAGGUGAAACCAAAGAGAUGAAACCAAUCCAUUCCGCAUGGGGAAUCGAUCUCCCCCCAAGGCCAUCGAUUCACAGCCUCAGCAGUCAAGGAAUGUCAGGCUGCCUGAUCUACAUUUCUAUAUGCAUCACUCUGGAUUAAAGGAUGGAGAAGCCCACCAUGUGCUGGGCAGUUUCCUGCUCGGUCACUCUACGUGCUGGCACCUGCUGAAAUUGACUGUUUUUUUAAAAAAAUAAUAAUUAUUCUUAGAGUAAGGUGAAUUCCUGGGAGCCUCACAGCUUCAUCUGCCUUGGCUCCUCGUCAGAAAAGGCCACAAGUUAAGCUGGG
This 1897-nucleotide long non-coding RNA is filed under the name Chrysemys picta bellii (western painted turtle). RNAcentral's name for it is "lncRNA (ENSCPBG00000028191.1)". Lineage: Eukaryota; Metazoa; Chordata; Testudines; Emydidae. The record is from RNAcentral.